UAGCCCCGCCCCCGGCUCCCCUCCCGUCCCCUCCCAGCCUCCCGCCCGCCGGAGCCGGCCUCUCCCGCCCCUCCCGGCGAGCACGUGGUGCCCCGCGCCGGCCGGGCCACCUCCGCCUGCCUCGGGCACGCAAGCGGCGGGGCAGCGGGUGCGGGCCUGGUGGCCGCGGGCUCUUUCCCGACCGGCCCCCGCGGCUGUCUGACAACCUGUCGACACCGGUUUACAGUUGUCGGACACUGGGGUUUGCUGUUUCGCAGCCGAGGUGUGUCUGCUGUUUCAUAAAAACAUCUCGGCUCCUGCUUUUCCGCGGAAGGGGCUGGCCCGGGCGCGGUGACAGCCAGCCGACGGGGAGCGGCCUCUCUUCGGAAGUUGGAGCUGCCUUUGCUUUCCUGGAAGUCUUUGGCAGAAGUGCACCCAGGUGCCCUCAUGUGCCACUAACCCGGCGUGGCGUGCCAUCCGAUGCGCUCUGGCGUCCCAGGGGCCCCCACUAGGUAUUAAGUCAUAUGGACAUGACCGAUCGUGCUGUACUUGGAGAAGCGGGAAGCGGCCAAACUCUGCAACCUUUCUCUAUUGUGGAAACUUUGCGAAAGGGAACCCUAGCUGAGAAGCCACUUGCUGGGGGAAGCAGAUGCCGUCUAUGGUAGCGGUUUCUUGGGGGCAAGAGACCUUAACAGAGACUGCAUCACAGCAGCGCAAGGGAAACAUUCCAGGUGCCCAACCUGGUAAUGAGAAAAGCCCAAGUGGCCUGGGCACCCCUCCUUUGUGCCUUGGGUGUGCAGGAAGUAAACUUAAGAAGAGCACGCCCGCCUGAGGCGGCUAGGCGACCAGGCCAGGGACAGGACGUCCCUCUCCACCCUCUGCCCUGAGGAAAGAGAGAGCCUAUGAGGCAGGACCCAGCACUGCUGGUUGGCUCCCUGUGGCCAGGGGCCUGGCUGCUCUAGGGCUCAGAUGCCGAGUGCAAGGUUCUCCUGAGCUCCCUCUGCUCAGACAGGUUGGGCAGGCAGCUACUGAGCUUUACUUGCUGGCUUGGUUCCCGUGGCCCAGAUGGGGAGCGUGCCCAGGGUACCAGUCCGGGCUACUGGGCCACUUUGCACCGCAUCUUUCACGCAGCAGUCAGAGCUCCCAGCUUCCGGGGGAACCUGCAGGAAUUUCAUUCACUGGACUCUGGAGUUGUACUCCGUUUGUGCCGUUUGGAGCUGUGGGAUUGAGGCUGACGUCUGGGCUUGGUCCCCAGCAUGCUCUGUUGCAGGUGACCUGGGCCACCCAGACCCUGGACACCAACUGCUGGGAUCGUGGAAGCGCAGGCACUCUGGCAGCAUUGGGAUGGCUCCCGUUUCUCCAUUUGGGGCCUGAGGACAGACACAGAGCCACUGCCCAUAAUAGUAAUGUCAUCACCAGCUCUGUAAUGAGGCUGUAAUUUCUCUGCUCAGAGUCAGGCUUUAUUCUUCUUCAUGCUGCUGCCCCCAUCUUCGCCCCAGGAGCCCCAGCUCUCUCCAGAAAUACCCUGCAACUGCCUGGGCUCCUUUCCUGCUGUGACAGAUUCUGGAGGCAGGGGUAGGCACUUGGCACUCCUGCUCUGGGAAGUCCCUAACCACAGCUCUCUCCUAUUCCCCAGCCCACCUCCAGGCACCCCAACCCCUUCUCCCCAGCAUCCAAAACAAACCAAAGGGCCAGCUCCACCUCUGUUCCCUUUAGCAAGCUCCAGUGUCACAUUUCAGGGCAACAGGUAAACACCGGUGAGAUAAGCCCUCUUGUGUGACCAGGAGAAUGAGGUGGAAUGUAAACCAGUGUCAGGAUCCAGCCACAGGAUUGAUCAUCUCCUUCCCACCUUACCCCCAAAAGUCCACCUUGACAUCCGGCACCCGGUAGCUAUCAGAACGUGGAGGAGGAGGGGCCAUCAGAGGAAGCUUUGUCCUGACCCUCACCAGCCCAGCAAUGCCUCCCCACCAUGCUCUGCAUGUAUUACCUCCAUUCAGGUCAUGAAAUGAUUGUAGGUUCCUGGAGACACCUGGGAGGUGAGUGGGGAAAACCCCUCUGGAAACCAGCUUGAGGAUUAGCCAGUUACAGAGGAAAUUAGAAAUAGAAAGGACUGGACUUGCCCCAAGGGAGCCAUGGAAAUGUGUCAGAGCAGCAAAUGUGGCCAUCCGCCCAAAGCUAUGGGCUGGGAUCCUAGCAGACCCUGGUGACUUAGAUCACCUCUUCCCUUCUUUCUCUUUGGCCCUUUUUCAGAAAACUUCCACAAAGAGGACUAGGAAGUUGUAAGAAAACUGCCUCCAAAGCAUCCUAUUGGAGAGGGGGAGGGGCAGAGAAGGACUGAGAACUUGGUGGCUCAGCUUUGCCAAGGACAUGUCCUCCAGAAACUCCAACGACCUAGGUCUGAAGAAGAGGAGACAGCUCAAGGGGGGCCGCCCACUCCCUGUAGCUACCGCGGGGACCUGCCUUUAACACCGAGAACAGCAACGCAGACCCUCCUGGGUGCAGCGGGCAGCACUGUGGCCUCCGACGCCUGCCGUUCAAAUGGCCGUUCUUUGCUGUGCGGAUGGCCGGCCGGGCCCCUUGACUGGCCCGGGCCUCCAGACGCCGCCAGGCCCUCCGCCCCAACGUGAGCGAUUUAUGACUCUUGUUAAAUACUCAUUAGGACUUUGCACCUUUCUCCUGCAGGACCCAGGAAGCCACGGGCUCAGCAACAGCGAGGCGAGUGCCAAACAGUCAGCAAUGACCUGCAAGGAGCACGCAGCUGUAACCCAGGUGCCCAGAGGGUCGGCUGGAUGCAAUGAUCCGAUGGCCCUCUCAGCCCAACCCCUGGGUGCCCAGACAGUGUUCUCCUGCCACGCCAAGCUGGGGGCGGGGGUUGGGGGUGAGGGGAGGCGUGUCCAUGACGCCUCUGGAGCAUCCUGACCUAGAGUAGCGCCUUGAACUUGCAACACUGUGGAGACCCUCCCGCUUCCAGACGGGCAUGCCUCGGAGGGAAGAGUCAAGUGGGGCCGGCGGGAGGAGAUGCUGACAGACUCCAGGAAAACACGAAAAGGAAAAAGGCCCAGAGCGAAGGACACGGAUGGUCAGACUCUCGGAGCAGUGCUUCAAUAGAGUGGGGCUUGGCUCCCCGGAAGGCAGAAGGCAGGCGUGCCGGCGCGCGAAGUGUGCCUGGGAGCCUGGAGAUUCCCCAACCCACGGGAGUUUCCCACCAUUGCAAGGCAGAGAAAGGGACGCAGUGGCCCGGCCUGCAGUGCCCCGGUGAGUGUCAGAGGAAGUGAAUUACAUACGUGUGCGCACGUAAAUAUUUUAUAAACCUCCCCAUAAUUAACCAGAUCAUUUCCAUUGUGCCUCCAAUAUGAUCAACUGCGACAAUGUGAGGGUUUUCGGGGUUUAUAAUUUGAUGUCACCAGACGGUUGCUCCAGGCAGAGGUACCAUCGCUGCACCAGCUGCACUCGUGUUUAUUUGUUUUUCUCCGGUGUUCCUGUAGGGCUCCAUUAUGCAGUGUUUAAUUAGUUUGCGUUUGUAUUUCACCCUUCCCAAAUCAAUGCCAUCCCGGAGCAAGGCGUUGUAAAUGCUGGCAGUACAGGUGUACUGCCUCCUCCGCAGCACUAGGAAACGCGUGUCUGACAAAUGAAAGCGGGGCUCUCUGUCAGCUCUCUGUAGCUGGGACUCCAAGAUCAAAGCCAGUGGGGACUUCUGUGCCCCCUGAGCACAGUCCUGGCUGUGGCUCCGGAUGCCAUUGGAGGGAGCCUGGCCACCUGCAUGGGAGAAAACUGACUUCAUUUUGUUCAAGUCCUGGGGUCUUUGGGCCAGCAUUGGUCUCCAGCGCUUUGAGCUUGGGGCCUCCUGGGCAUGGGCUGAAUAUGUGCAGGGCUCCCACCUGGAUGCCGGGUUGUGGACAAGCAUGCAGAUAACCUAGCACCGGACGAGGGCCCUUGUGAGUGACUUCCUGCCUGAUUCCAAAAGUCCUUUCAAUGGAACCCAGAGCAUACAGCUCAAACUUCUGGAAUCUCCAGACAGGAGGACCCCUUCCCCCACCACCUCUCAGGGAGGUAUUGGCAUCUAUAUCUUUUUGAAAUGACCUCUGGGGGCGGGGGUGGGGUGGGGUGGGGGGGUGAGGGGUGUAAAUCUAUCCUUCCAGCCACCAGGGAAUUCUUUUACUUUCUUUUUUUCUUUUUGUCAGGAAUAAGAGAUCGUUCAUCUUUAACUAGACUGCAUAGAAAUUAUGAUUCAACAGCAGUGUAUAUUUAAUUAAAGUAAUCUCACUUGAAUUUAAUUACCUAAUGAAUUAUUUGUUUAAAAGGUAGAAUGUCUUGUUUGCCAAGAACCAUGCAGACCUCUGAUAAGAACUUGUGUUUUAAGAACAGUACUUUUAAGUGUAGGCAUGUAUUAAGGUUUAUAUUUUAACUCUUUGAGUAUGUAAUUGCCACUGUACAACUAAAAAAAAAUACUAUGUUUGUUAUGUGCACAUGUUUCUUUUAGAAAUUAAUAACUUCUAACUUUGUCGUGUAAGUCUAGUUUAUUUUUAAACUUAUUUCAUUUUGCUUUCAGCAGCAUAUUUUUUUUCUAGUGCAAGAUGACAGCUGUCUAUUUGAAGACUUAUUUAAUGAUUAGUGUUUGCACUGAAGUGGGGCACCCUUCAGGAAAACUCUAACCCAGCUCAUCUGGAUCCCUGAGGCAUCCACACUGGCAGCAGGAAGACAUUCAUUGUUAUCAAACUUAUGGAAAUAGAGGCUACCAUGGCCCAGACUUUGACCUUAACCUUUAAUUUCUAAACUGUGGAAGAAUUUUUACCUCCUCUUGUUUUCAGUAAGCAAGAACAAAUAAUCCCAAGCCAUGCCCUCCUUUCUGAGAAGCUCUGAAAUUGAAUGUCUGGGUAACCCCAACAAUUGGUGCAGCUAAUGCAAAGUUUAUAACCGGACUCCUUAAGUGGGGAGUGUGACCUGCUGGAAAUCUAACAGGAUUUCUGUAUUUUCUGUGGUCCUGUUGCUGCAGAUGCAGACUGCUUCAUUUCCUCCUCUAUCCCAGGUGAUGGACAGGCUCUUCUACCCCUGCAUGAUGGAAUUUCAGCGGAGAAAUGCAUGAUGGGGGGGCCGGGGGGGGGCAGAGAGGGUUUUACCCUCUCACUGAGUUGAGAAUAGGAGAUAAGAACACCUCAAAUCCACUUGGUCAAAUUUUACUGUCAUUUUCAUUAAUAUUUCAUUAAUCAAAUCAUUUACUUUAAUUGGGAGCUUGGUCACCAUUGUCCCAUAAAUGUUAAAUACUAUUAAUGUGGUGUUCACCUAAGUAGGAAUGGGAUAAAAUAAAAAUGCAACACUGAUAAGAA
Myotis daubentonii (Daubenton's bat) is the source of this 5303-nucleotide long non-coding RNA. RefSeq lists it as uncharacterized. Lineage: Eukaryota; Metazoa; Chordata; Mammalia; Chiroptera; Vespertilionidae. The record is from RefSeq and is a predicted model, not a curated record.